UACGAAGGGGGCUAGCGUUGCUCGGAAUCACUGGGCGUAAAGGGUGCGUAGGCGGGUUUUUAAGUCAGAGGUGAAAUCCUGGAGCUCAACUCCAGAACUGCCUUUGAUACUGAAAGUCUUGAGUAUGGGAGAGGUGAGUGGAACUGCGAGUGUAGAGGUGAAAUUCGUAGAUAUUCGCAAGAACACCAGUGGCGAAGGCGGCUCACUGGCCCAUUACUGGCGCUGAGGCACGAAAGCGUGGGGAGCAAACAGG
This 253-nucleotide ribosomal RNA is filed under the name uncultured bacterium. RNAcentral describes it as "partial 16S ribosomal RNA". It matches the Rfam family "Bacterial small subunit ribosomal RNA", at positions 524 to 776 of the family's 1533-position model. The record is from RNAcentral.